Molecule: ribosomal RNA, 253 nt
Filed under: uncultured bacterium
Lineage: Bacteria
Description: partial 16S ribosomal RNA
Rfam family: Bacterial small subunit ribosomal RNA
Source: RNAcentral
UACGUAGGGGGCAAGCGUUGUCCGGAAUCAUUGGGCGUAAAGCGCGUGUAGGCGGCUCGAUAAGUCUGCUGUGAAAGUCCAGGGCUCAACCCUGGGAUGCCGGUGGAUACUGUCGAGCUCGAGUCCGGAAGAGGCGAGUGGAAUUCCUGGUGUAGCGGUGAAAUGCGUAGAUAUCUGGAGGAACACCGGUGGCGAAGGCGGCAUCCUGGACCGGCAUUGACGCUGAGGCGCGAAAGCCAGGGGAGCAAACGGG